CGAUGGAUGAAUUAAGACUAC
Molecule: microRNA, 21 nt
Filed under: Lotus japonicus
Lineage: Eukaryota; Viridiplantae; Streptophyta; Magnoliopsida; Fabales; Fabaceae
Description: lja-miR11077b-5p
Source: miRBase by way of RNAcentral